RNAcentral lists this long non-coding RNA (11999 nucleotides) under Nicotiana tabacum (common tobacco). Its description in RNAcentral is "long non-coding RNA (NTAB_LNC004290)". Lineage: Eukaryota; Viridiplantae; Streptophyta; Magnoliopsida; Solanales; Solanaceae. The record is from RNAcentral.
AGAAAACAGGAUCUCUCUCAUUUUGAAUAGAUAUCGGGACCCCCCUCCUCGAUUCCCAUUUCAGAGCAGACCCUUGUUCAAAGGGGGCAAAAGGGAGAAGGUUUGAAAAGAGGUGAUACCCUCCCUGCACACCCCAAUUCAUCUCACUUUUUGUUUGGAUCUGAAAACUUAUUUGGAAAAAGGAUUUCAACUGAUCAUUCAACAUUUUCUCAUCUCCUGGGAUUCCAACUCUCAUUGCCGAAGCUCUGUUCAUUGAUUAAUUGAUUCCUCCUUCCAAUUUCAGAGAUCUAUUUUCUACUUUGUUUGUUCUGCUAUAAUCAGGUACUGCUUCUUGCUUGAAUAAUGUAAACGCAAUGUUCAGUUGAAUGAGGAUUAUGUGACCAAGUUAAAGGAAACACAAAUGCGGACACUUUUCUUUUCAUCGUAAUUUUAAUGCCUUAUUUAUUUAUCUUUGCCUUUUGACUUUAUAAAACAUGAGCCUGAAUUUGGAUAGUUUAUUCUCAUUGCUCCUUUUAAUUAUUAAUUUCUAUACUGUUUAGUUGGAUUCGUCACCUAGAUAAAUUUAACGGCUAAUUAGAAAUUUUGAUUGAUGUUGCAAAGCUUCAAUAACAAUAAGCAGGAUGCCAAAUUGAGUUUUAAUAUACUAUGGGAAGUCCUCGUUGUUGGUUGAUGAGUCUACGUGGUGGCAUGUUUUAGUUUCUGAUUGAAACUUCCAAUUUUGCUAAGGUUCAAAUUAUUAGAUAUCAAGAUAAUUUCAAGCUAUAUGAUGUUAGUAAUUUGUUAAAUUAUAAAUAGUUUUAAGGUUGAAUAACUCAUUAGAACAGGUAGCAAAAAUCUUACACCCUUCCACGGUAAUUUCCAUAGCCUAUGGCCUUACAAUAAUCUUAAAUUAGAUUAGGAAAUAAAUCAAAGGCGUAGUUACUUUAGGCGCGUAAUUUAAAUUACUUUCCUAAAUCCGGGUGUGCAUUUAUGUGACCCAAAUUCAAAUUUCAACAACGUUAGAUAAAAUGUGUCGUGGACCACGGGUGCAUUUAUGUGACGCGGUUCAAGACGCGUUUUAGAUGACGUUGAAUCUUUCUUAAAAAAUAAUUAAAUAAAAGCGGUUAUAAAGUUAAAAUUGCAUCAUAGGUUUCAAAAAUGUUUUAAAAUCAAAUAAAUAGGCAAAUAAUAACAGUUGAGCGACCGUGCUAAAACCACGGAACCCGGAAAUGCCUAACACCUUCUCCCGGGUUAACAAAAUUCCUUACCCGGAUUUCUGUGUUCGCGGACUGUAAAACAGAGUCAAUCUUUCCUCAAUUAUCCCAAGUGGCGACUCUGAAAUUUUAAAUAAAAAUAAUCCCAAGCUGCCUGCGGUGCUUUUGUGCGGGCAUUGGUUGGCAGAUUAAGUUUAUAGCUAAGUUUUUCUCUCCAGGGCAUAUGGCGACUUUGAGAGAUGAGAUUUUGGCCUUCAAACCGGAACCUAAUGAACCACUUCAUGAGAUCUGGGAGAGAUAUCGGACAAUGGUGAAAGAAUGUACGAACAAUGACCUGACCGAAGCAAUGAUUCAGCGGACAUUCUACCAUGGCAUUAACACGACCAAUCAGUGAGUAGUGAACCAGCUAGCAGGUGGAAAUUUUAUGAACACACCUUAUGCUGAGGUGUGUGAGAUAUUGGAUGAGAUGGCAGAUACUUCCUCAACUUGGCAAAGUCAAGCCAAUGUGCCACAGGGUGACCCCACUGUCAUCCACUUGCACAAAGAGCUCCAUGAUCAUGGCCAGACAAUAGCAAAGUUAGCUACAACAAUGAACCAGUUGGCAAAAGCUCAAUUGCAACAAGUUCAAUCUCCUAGACAAGUAAAUGCUAUGGAAGGUGUCAACAUGUUGGUCAACAAGAGGCGACAAAGAGGUCAACAAGGUCAAGGUAGUCCGGAUCAAUAUGAGCAAGGCAGUGGUGAUUUCAAUCAAGAUGAUAGCUACAAUGAGAAAAGUAAAGAAGUGCAGUACGUGAACAAUUACCAAGGACAAAUGGGCAAUGCUCCUAACCCACAACAACAGUAGAGAUCCCAAGGAAAUUGGGGGAAUCAAAAUCAACAAGGCAAUAACAACUGGAGGGACAACAAUCAGAAUUGGGGCAACCAGAACAACUAGGGCAACUAGAAUGGCAACAACAAACCAAGGCGGUUGGAAUAAUGACAAUCAACGGAAUUGGGGGCGAGGCUUUCACAGGCCUCUGAUGUACCAACAACCAAACAACCCACCUCCAUUUCCAUCCCAAUAUCCUAGCUCGACAAACAAUGAGAUGGGAAAGAUCGCCGUGAAGAAGAACACCAACUUUGAUGUCCAGUUGGCAUCCCACAAUACUUCAAUUCGAAAUUUGGAGGUUCAACUUGGCCAGAUUUUGCAAUCUUUGAAUACUCGCCCUAAGGGGGCUCUACCUAGUGAUACGGUAGAAAACCCGAAGGGUAGGAACAACAUCGGGCAUGCAAUGGUGGUGAUUACAAGAAGCGGUCGAGGUGGUGAUAUGAAUGCCUCCAAGCAAAGGGAAGUUGUGAGUGAUGAGGUUGAAAUGCAAUAUGAUGGUGUUCCUAUAGUUGAUGAGCAAGUGAGUGAAGAGAAUUUGAAUGCGGAAGCGAGAAUUAAUAUUCAUGAUAAUGAGGUGGAGACUCAAGAUGACGUGAACCCGUCUAGGGAACACAUAAUAGAUAUACCGAAAAUGAUAGUGCCCAAGGCUAAGGCUCCUUUGCCAAGGCCUCCUCCACCUUACCCUCAAAGGCUUGCAAAGAAAAAGAUUGAAAACCAAUUUAAGAAGUUUAUUGAGAUGAUGAAAAGUUUGUCAAUCAAUGUUCCUUUGGGGGAAGCUCUUGAACAAAUUCCGGGUUACGCCAAGUUCAUGAAAGACUUGGUGACUAAAAAGAGAUCCAUGGAUUGUGAGACCAUCAAAAUGACUCAUUAAGUAAAUGCACUUGUGCACUCGAUGGCUCCAAAGCUUGAAGAUCCCGACGCUUUCACCAUUCCAUGUACCUUUGGGAGUGCAGAUUUUGCAAAGGCAUUGUGUGAUUUGGGAGCAAGUAUCAAUUUGAUGCCUUACUCCGUGUUCAAAACCUUGGGUAUUGGUCAACCGAGAGCUACUUCAAUGAGAUUGCGAAUGGCGAAUAGAACAAUGUAGAGGCCGCUUGGUAUUAUUGAUGAUGUUCUUGUUCGGGUGGACAAUUUUAUUUUGCCUGCUGACUUUGUGAUUUUGGACUGCGAGGUCGACUAUGAGGUUUCGAUAAUAUUGGAAAGACAUUUCCUUGCAAGUGGGAAGACAUUGGUUGACGUGGAAGCAGGGGAGCUCACCUUCCGGGUGGGUGAUGAACAAGUGGUCUUUCAUGUGUGCAAAUCAAUGAAGCAGCCGAAUAGUACUGAAGUGUGCUCUUUUGUGGAUCUUGUCAUAGAGGUGAUAGUUGAUGAUACUAGUGCAAUGAUCAAUGUGGAGGAUCCUCUAGAAGCUGUGUUGUUGAACCUUGACGUAAAUGAGGAUGAAGGUCUAGUGGAGUGUGUCAAUGCUUUGCAUGGAAUGGGCUCUUACUCUUAUGAGCCUCGAAAUCUCUCUUUGGAUCUUGAGAACAGAAAGACUCCACCAACAAAGCCCUCAAUUGAGGAACCCCCCAUUUUGGAGUUGAAGCCUUUGCCCUCACAUCUCAGGUAUGAAUUCUUAGGCCCUAGUUCAACUUUACCUGUUAUUCUUUCAUCUUGUCUUACUAACGUGCAGGUAGAUGUAACACUGGAGGUGCUCCAAAGAAGAAAGAAGGCAAUUGGAUGGACUCUAGCUAAUAUUCGGGGAAUAAGCCCGCCUUUUGCAUGCACGAGAUUAUACUUGAAGAUAAUGCCAAACCCUCCGUUGAACAUCAAAAGAGGUUGAGCGAGGCUAUGCAAAAGGUUGUCAAAAAGGAGGUGAUCAAGUGGUUAGAUGCAGGGGUUGUGUACCCCAUCUCGAAGAGUUCUUGGGCUUUACUGGUGCAAUGUGCGCCAAAGAAGGGUGGUAUAACUAUGGUUACCCAUGAGCAAAAUGAGUUAAUUAACACCAGGACUGUCACCAGAUGGUGGGUGUGCAUGGACUACCGCAAGCUGAAUAAAGUGACCCGCAAGGAUCACCUUCCAUUACCCUUUCUUAACCAGAUGCUAUAUAGACUUGCUGGGCGUGCCUUCUAUUGUUUCUUGGAUGGGUACUCAGGUUACAACUAGAUUUUGAUUGGUCCGGAAGAUCAGGAGAAAACCACCUUCACGUAUCCAUAUGUCACCUUUGCAUUUUCUAGGAUGCCAUUUGGUUUGUGUAAUGUACCGGCUACAUUCCAGUGGUGUAUGAUGGCUAUAUUUAUCGACAUGGUGGAGGACUUCUUGGAAGUGUUCAUGGAUGACUUCAGUGUUGUGGGUGACUCUUUUGAUGAAUGUAUGAAGAAUCUUGACAAAGUGUUGGCCCGGUGUGAAAAGACAAAUCUUGUGCUCAAUUGGGAAAAAUGCCACUUUAUGGUCGAGGAGGGCAUUGUCCUCGGCCAUAAGAUCUCAAAGCACGGUAUAGAGGUGGACAGGGCUAAAAUUGAAGUGAUCUCAAAGCUUCCUCCUCCAACAUCAGUCAAGGGGGUGAGGAGUUUUCUUGGGCAUGCGGGGUUCUACCAAAGAUUAAUCAAAGACUUUUCUAAGGUAGUGAAUCCUUUGUGCAAAUUAUUGGAAAAGGAUGCCAAGUUCGUAUUUAAUGAGGAAUGCAUGAAAGCUUUUGAAUUUCUAAAGUACAAAUUGACAACCACUUCCAUUAUUACCGCACCCAAUUGGAGCUUACCUUUUGAGCUUAUGUGUGACGCAAGCGAUGUUGCGGUAGGAGCGAUCUUGGGUCAAAGAGUGAUUAAGAUGUUUCACCCGGUGUAUUAUGCAAGCAAAACAAUGAAUGAUGCUCAACUGAAUUACACGGUGAUGGAAAAAGAUUUGUUAGCAAUUGUGUUUGCAAUGGAGAAGUUUAGGCCUUAUCUCAUGGGUGCCAAGGUGAUAGUUCAUACUGACCAUGCAACACUCCGCUACUUGAUGACAAAGAAGGAUUCUAAGGCUCGGUUGAUGAGAUGAGUUAUAUUGCUUCAAGAGUUUAACCUUGAGAUUGUUGAUCGGAAAGGGAGUGAAAACCAAGUGGAGAACCACUUAUCCCGCUUGGAGGAGGAGGGGAGGCCCCGUGAUGGCCUCGAAAUUAAUGAUUCAUUCCCUGAUGAGCAAUUCCUCUCUGUAUCUGUGAAUAACAUGCCUUGGUUCGCGGAUGUUGACAACUUUCUUGUGACUGGUAUUGUUCCGUGUGAUCUAUCUUCUAACCAAAGGAAGAAGCUUAAGCGGGUUAGUUUGGACUUCUACUGGGAUAAGCCUUACUUGUUCAAAAUCUGUAAUGAUGGUGUGAUCUGGAGAUGUGUUCCGGAAGAGGAGCAAAUGAGUAUUCUGGAUGCUUGUCAUUCCUCUCCCUACGGUGGUCAUCAUGGUGGGGCGAGGAUAGCUUCAAGGGUGCUUAGUUGGGGUUUUUAUUGGCCUACAUUGUACAAGGAUGCGGGUGAGCUUGUGAAGAGAUGUGAUGAGUGUCAGAUAGCAGGUGGAAUUUCAAAUAAGGAUGAGAUGGCUCUCCCCACUAUUCUUGAGGUUGACAUUUUUGAUGUGUGGGGCAUUGAUUUCAAGGGACCUUUCGUGAGUUCAUGUGUCAACACAUAUAUUCUAGUGACCAUUGAUUAUGUUUCCAAAUAGGUUGAGGUUCGUGGCUUUACCCAACAACAAGGCCCGGAGUGUGGUGUCUUUUCUCAAGAAGAAUAUCUUUACUCGGUUUGGCACUCCUAGAGCAAUCAUUAGUGAUGGGGGUUCUCAUUUCUGCAGUAAGGCAUUUGACACUUUGCUUACAAAGUACAGUGUCAAUUACAAGGUUUCAACCCCUUACCAUCCUCAGGCUAGUGGGCAAGUUGAGGUCUCCAACAGGGAGAUCAAGAGCAUAUUGUCAAAGACGGUUAUUGCAAAUAGGACUGACUGGUCAAAGAAACUGGAUGAUGCUUUGUGGGCUUACAGGACUGCUUACACAACUCUGAUUGGUAUGUCUCCGUAGCGAUUGGUGCUUGGGAAAGCUUAACAUAUCCUAGUUGAGUUAGAGCACAAGGCCAUGCGGGCCUUGAGAAAGUUGAAUCUUGAAUGGGAUGUUGCAGCAAAUCUCUAGGUGGAGCAACUCAAUGAGCUUGAUGAGUUCCAGUUUCAUGGCUAUUCCAGCUCAUCCUUGUAUAAGGACAAGAUGAAGUACUUACAUGACAAGUAUGCCCGUAGCAAGGAAUUCAAAGAGGGUGACUUGGUUCUUUUAUUCAACUCCCGGUUACAACUAUUUCCGGGAAAGCUUAAGUCAAAAUGGAGUGGACCUUUUGAGGUAGUACUUGUGACUCCGUUUGGUGCUCUUGAUUUGAAAAACAAAAAUGGUGAAAUCUUCAGAGUUAAUGGGCACAAAGUGAAUCACUAUCUUGGCAAAUUUGAUGACAGCCACGUGGUGGCAACGAUCCAUCUCAAAUGAUUUAUGGUAACAUGUGUCGUGUCGCGAUGUUAAAUCAGGCGCUUCUUGGGAGGCAACCCAUGUGUUUUUCUUCCUUUUGAUUUUCUUAUUAGUUUAGGAUUUGUUUUUGAACUAACUGUUUGUGAGAUGUGUGUAGGGAUGUUUGAUGCAGUGCAGGACUAAGCUGGAAAAAUUUGGCACUCUCUGAAGUUGGACCACUGAUAGCGCUUCAUUUUUCGCAGUUAGUGAUGGCCUUAUCGCAGAGGCGGAAUUUGAUGGCGGAUGCGAGAUUGAAAAGUCCAACAUGACACCUCUCUGAAGUUUCAACCGCGUCUGAGGUGCUUUUAUUAUGGUCAGCAAUGCCGUACCGCAGUCGCGAUCGAUUUUUUGCUCUCCACGGUCAAUUUAAUUAUGCAUCCCUUCUGUACUUCACUAGUGCGGACCGCGGUGAUUUACCGCGGCUGCGAUAGGUAAGUUCUAGUAGGUCCCUGGAUGUUUUGUAUAAAUAGGACCUCAGAGAACCUUUUACCCUUUUUGCUCAAUUGACUCUCACACUAGAAUUUUAACUGUUCAUCCACACCACAAUCUGCACAAACACAAGAACUAGACUUCAUUUUUCACCACUCAUUUCACAUUUGGUAAUUCCACUCAUUCCUUAGUCUUUAAUUUUGUACUUAUUUACUUUUAAUUGAUAGUUUUUACUUCUUCUUCUUCUUCUUCUUCUUCUUUUUUCUUUUAAUUUUGACUUAGGGUUCCUUUAUAUUGACUAGAUUAGGCUUAAAAUAGUUAGAACUGGUUACUGAACACCUAGUGGGAUUUAUAAUGUUGAUGAUAUUGCUAAAAUGCAUGAAAAUUAGAAACCCUAGGUUUGUUGAGCCCUAUUUUGACUUUUGCAGACGCGAUUGAUUUUUCACGGUCCGCGUUCAUAAGUUUCAUAUGAGAAUUUGAAGUCCUGAUAACCGCGGUCAGCGGUGGAAAAUUCUGCUGAUAGUGGUGCCUCUUCGCGGCCGCGAUUAAUUUUCCUCGGUCCGCAGUGCUCAAGUUCAGAGAGGUACAAAUAAGAGUCCGCGGUCGCGGUCAAUUUUCCACGGACAGCUGUGCAACCACCGUCGCCGCACUCAACUUACCUCGCUUAGUGGUGCAAUAUAAUUAGAGGGUGGGUAGUCUGAUCCCCAUACCUCCACGGCCGCGAUGCAUUUUCCGCGGUCCGCGGUGUAGCCUCCCUGGUCGCACUCCUUUCUCUGCGGUCUGCAAAUUUUCCAUGCACUGUAAAUUGUUCUACUGUUUUUUUUUUCACUACUUAUUCUAGCAACUAACAAUGUGCCACUGAUUAUGUUUGUAGACAAUGGUUAAAUCUAGAGGCGGCGGUGAGAAAUAAAAGGGUAUAGUAGAGUCCUCCCGGGAUAAGGGACGGGGACAAAUAAAGUUGACCCCAGCAAUUCGGAAAUCAAUUGGGGAAAUGAGGAAGACCAUCAUAGCUAUAGACAGAGCUGCUUCCCACUCAGAGGGGAGUGAUCAUGUGCCCUCCUAGGAGGCCUCAAAGACUAACUCAGUGCCUGCACAUGUUCUAGACUUCCCGAGAAGAUUCCGUUUGAGAGAUGAGCCUAAACCUCCAGCUUUUCCCACUUCUUCGGCUUCUUUUGAGUCGUCUGAUGGCUCAGUGGAGAGUGGUGAGUCCUCAGCUUCAGCCUCACCGAUAGCUUCGUCACCGGCACAAGACCCCAUAGUUUAGAUGCUGAGGUACUGGAUGACGAGAGAGGGGGUGCCACCCAGACCAGAGGUGUAGAAAGAACAAGAAACCCAGAGGUUUGGCAACAGAGAUUUGUCAGUGAGCUGGCAUACCAUAAAUUUAGGGAAUGGUGGCCUUAGAAGUCCCUAAGUCAUGAGCGUCAAUUCAUAGAGCGGGAUCUUCUGCCAAAGAACCCUAAUGUGAAGAAGCACUUUAAUGAAUGGGUAGGAUUGGAGUACAUCACUAGCAAGGUGUCGGAGGCUAAUAAGCACCUAGUAAAGGAAUUCUACGACAAUGCCUCCCACAUCAAGAAUGAUACUAAAGUGACUAAGGUGCAGAACCUAAACGUCAAGUUUGAUGGGAAAGCAAUUAAUGAUUACCUGGGCUUCAGUGAUGAAGAUGAGACAUAGUACUUAGAGAAGGUGGCGAUGGAUGAGGUAGCCCGCCCGUGGUUGGCAUCACUUCUGGCUCUCCUAUAUACCAUCCAGUAUGGUUGAUAGUAGGGGUUCCUCUCUUGAGGAACACCCUGAACUUUGAGGCAAAGGUUGGGAGACAUUUGUGUGCAGAAGCGUAGACUCCACUACUCACGACAACACCUUGUCGGUCUCCCGGGCGAUUAUAGUGGCGGCUAUCAUGGCGGGGUUCCCAAUCAAUGUCGGGAAUAUCAUGUCUAGGGUGAUCACUAGAGUGGUUAACGAGGGUGAUAGAUCCUACCCCUUCCCGAACUUCCUCACCAUGUACCUGGAGGAUCAAAAGGUGGAGAAAAGAAAUUUCGAUGUCAAGGUAAGGCCCAAGAUGCCCUUUUCAUGCUACAACCUUAAGGGUCCAGGCAACCCCAAAUCUAAGGGAUCCAAGGGCAAAGCUACUACAUCUACUAGCUAGUCUGAAGAGCCAGUAGUGGUAGUCACUACUUCACAGCCUCCCACUGCCAUACGGGAUCUUGCCUCAUUACCAUCUACUUCCAUGCCAUCCUCAGUUCCAUCCUCCCCAGCAUACCCAUUGACUGCUCAUAGGUCGAGCCAAACACUCUCCAAUAUCAACAACUGGAUGCAGGCGACAACUUCUAAGAUGUAUGUGCUAUCUAGUUCAAUAGCAGCCCAGUCAGUUCUUACACAGCUACAGGUCCCAGCUUCAGUAGAAGAGUCUCUCAAGGAGCUUCUGGACAACCAGAAAAAGCUCCUGGAGAACCAAGCAGACAAAGAAACUGAAAAAGACUCGGGCCUCGAAAGAGUCUGUGAAGGAAUUGAGGGGGGAGAUGGAGAAGAUGAAGGCAUCAGACCACUUACCAUUAGAGCUACUAUUACAUGACUAGCCUCUAGCGGCUUAGACAGAGCAUGUUCAGGAGUAGGAGAUUGAGAGAGAGCCCAAGAGGAGGAGAGUGAUGCCCCGGGUUGAUGAUGUAGAGAUUGAGUUGGCAGAGACUGAGGGAGGUGCCUCGGCCAGCCACAGGCCCCUGAUCCAGGUGAUCCUGGGACCUAGCCACAGGACCCUAUGCAACCACAGGACCCAAUGCAGACAGAGGACCCAUAGGGAGUUUCCUUUACUCUUUACCCUUCUUUUUGAUCUUUUUUUUAGUUAGUUAGCAUUGAGGACAACACUAGUUUUCAUUUGAGGGGGUGGUCCUACUUUGAUGAUUUGGUAGUUGGUUUAUAAUUAUGAUACUAUUUUCUUUCUUUAUGCUUAUUUUUCACUUUUGGUAUGUAUAUAACUUAACAUUUAUUUCACUUUUCGUUAUUUUUCAAUCUUGGUCUGUAUAUGAAGUUACUCUCUCAUGUAUAUAUUCAUUCUCUCUUAUGUAUAUUCAUCUAAAUCCCCUAUUGUACAUAUUUAGUUUACUUUCCACAUUUUACUUUAUAACUUCUUUUGCAAUUUUUCUUAAUAGUAUAGCUUAUUUUAUUUAAUAGCUUCUUUUUCGGUUUGUAGCUUCUUGUUUUACAAGUUGCAAUGAUCAAUAAGCCUUUGGUUUUCUUAAUGCCACAGUUUUUUCCAAAGGUAGAGUUUGUGUGAACCGGGAUGGCUCUUCCUGAUAAUGGAUGGCAUGACAACCUUCUUAAGAGUUUGAGUCUGUUUUUCUUUUUAUUUUUGUGUAAAUAGUAGUUAGUGAGAAAUGGUGCCUCAAGCAAAGCUUCACUUAGGCCUAACACAUUUAUCUAUGACCUUAUGGUGAAAAACAAAUUGGUGUGUACAUGAUGGUGAUAGUUGUGACCUUGAGACUCUUGUGUUGACUAAACAAUCAUCGAGUGGCUUCUCAGAACCAUUUGUGUUGCUCAAAUCUUAGCUAAGGUUGUUGUGGGUCCCCGACUCUGUUUCUUUACCAAUCCUAUAGCUUGUGUGGUGAGGUAUUGAUUUGCAAGUCCAAGUCCCAUGCCAAUGAGUCUAUAACUUGCCCUGAAUAUUUUCCUAGGUGAAAUCCUAAGUGAAGUUCGACUUGAGAAGUGAUUAUAGGCUCUCCUUGAUCCUAAUUGAGAUUUGAAAACACACAUAUUCCACCAAUGAUGACAUCACUAGUCAACCCCGUUGAGCCAUAGCCCUUAUUCUUUCAAAAACCAUGAUACAAGCCUUUAUCCGUUCUAAAAUGAUCCUCUCUUAGCACCCAAUCUUUACUUAGCACAAGGCAAAAGCAUAAAUUUGGGAGGAGAGGCGAGGAAUGUAAAAGCGAUAAAAGAUACAAAAUAAAGAAAAGGAAAGGGCAAAAAGAAAAAGAAAGAAAAGCGAAAAAGUCAAAAAUAAAGUGAACAAUGUAGAAUAAAUGAAGGGAUUCAAUAAAAGCAAAAGAUGAAAGGCAUGGAAAGAAUUAGAAAGGAGAAAAAAGAUUGAAAUGAACAAGAAAGAGUGACAGUGUGACGCUCUAGCCCCUAGAGAUAAAGUAAAUGACUCAAAGAGUCAAGAAAAUGUAUGCCAAAAUGAAGCAAAUAAAGUGCUUAAGGGAAGAUGAAACCUUCUUAGACCAAUAUAUUCUACCCUGAACUAAAAGCCUUCAUUACAUCCCCACAAAAUCCCUAUAUGAUCUUGAGUUGGGUGAGCUUACAUUAGUGGUGACUCAUAUAAGGGGCAAGCUUAUGGUACUUAGAGCUGGACUUUUGACCUUCCUUUGAAAGAGAUGAGUGUGUUUUCAACAAUCCUCGUUCUGAGUGAUACAAUCUAAAAGUGAGGUUUGCUUAUAGAGAGUUGAGGAGUAUGAGUUUAGGUUCCACAAUGACCAAUGUAACAAAAAGAGUUUCCUUGAAGAGUUUCCACAGCUUAUGUGUUGCACUAUAGCCAUGGUGCUAAAAAGGUUGUGUAUUAUUAUUAAUGUAUUUGAGUUGAGGGUAAUUGUUAGUCUCAAUUGAUUCUUGAUGAGGUUACUUUAGGACAGCUGAAAUUUUCCUGUCUUUUAUCUUGAGGAGGUGGGAAUUACAUUGUUUGCUUGAGGACAAGCAAAAGCUUAAGUUUGUGGGAGUUGAUAAUUAGGGAUUCUAGUCUAUUUUAUGCUUUUUUUUGCUUAAGUUUUGGAUUAAAAAUGUGUACAGUGUAUUCCCAAAAGUUAACAUGUUGUGCUUGUUUGCAGUGUUUGGUCAAAAAGAGACAAGAAAGUCAAAACCGGCUCAAAAAGGAGUGAAACCUCCACAAGUACAAAGCUGAGUCAAAAGGAGCGUUGACAGCGGAAAAUCGGACGCGUUCACUGAGGAUCCACCGCUGAGGUGGUCUUGCUUCCUCGCUCAGUGGUGGCAAAGUUCAGAGAGUGUGUUUUAGGGCUUUCAAGUUACCGCUGCCCGCGGUGCUUUU